GAUGAACGCUGGCGGCGUGCUUAACACAUGCAAGUCGAGCGAAGCAGUUAAGUUGAUUUCUUCGGAUUGAUUCUUAACUGACUGAGCGGCGGACGGGUGAGUAACGCGUGGGUGACCUGCCCCAUACCGGGGGAUAACAGCUGGAAACGGCUGCUAAUACCGCAUAAGCGCACAGAGCUGCAUGGCUCGGUGUGAAAAACUCCGGUGGUAUGGGAUGGGCCCGCGUCUGAUUAGGCAGUUGGCGGGGUAACGGCCCACCAAACCGACGAUCAGUAGCCGGCCUGAGAGGGCGACCGGCCACAUUGGGACUGAGACACGGCCCAAACUCCUACGGGAGGCAGCAGUGGGGAAUAUUGCACAAUGGGGGAAACCCUGAUGCAGCGACGCCGUGUGAGCGAAGAAGUAUUUCGGUAUGUAAAGCUCUAUCAGCAGGGAAGAUAAUGACGGUACCUGACUAAGAAGCCCCGGCUAACUACGUGCCAGCAGCCGCGGUAAUACGUAGGGGGCAAGCGUUAUC
RNAcentral lists this ribosomal RNA (517 nucleotides) under uncultured bacterium. RNAcentral's name for it is "bacterial SSU rRNA". It matches the Rfam family "Bacterial small subunit ribosomal RNA", at positions 28 to 545 of the family's 1533-position model. The record is from RNAcentral.